This 1104-nucleotide ribosomal RNA is filed under the name Moraxella catarrhalis. Its description in RNAcentral is "bacterial LSU rRNA". The stretch from base 1 to 945 matches the Rfam family "Bacterial large subunit ribosomal RNA", at positions 1966 to 2925 of the family's 2925-position model. Lineage: Bacteria; Pseudomonadati; Pseudomonadota; Gammaproteobacteria; Moraxellales; Moraxellaceae. The record is from RNAcentral.
UCCUUGUCGGGUAAGUUCCGACCUGCACGAAUGGCAUAAUGAUGGCAGCGCUGUCUCCAGCAGAGACUCAGUGAAAUCGAAAUCGCAGUGAAGAUGCUGUGUACCCGCGGCUAGACGGAAAGACCCCGUGAACCUUUACUACAGCUUUACAUUGAACUUUGACCUAACUUGUGUAGGAUAGGUGGGAGGCUUUGAAGCAGAUACGCCAGUAUUUGUGGAGCCAACCUUGAAAUACCACCCUGGUUAUGUUGGGGUUCUAACUUAGGAUCAACAAAUCCAAGGACAAUGUAUGGUGGGUAGUUUGACUGGGGCGGUCUCCUCCUAAAGAGUAACGGAGGAGUACGAAGGUGCGCUCAGAACGGUCGGAAAUCGUUCAAAGAGUAUAAAGGCAAAAGCGCGCUUAACUGCGAGACCCACAAGUCGAGCAGGUACGAAAGUAGGUCUUAGUGAUCCGGUGGUUCUGUAUGGAAGGGCCAUCGCUCAACGGAUAAAAGGUACUCUGGGGAUAACAGGCUGAUACCGCCCAAGAGUUCAUAUCGACGGCGGUGUUUGGCACCUCGAUGUCGGCUCAUCUCAUCCUGGGGCUGAAGCAGGUCCCAAGGGUAUGGCUGUUCGCCAUUUAAAGAGGUACGCGAGCUGGGUUUAGAACGUCGUGAGACAGUUCGGUCUCUAUCUACCGUGGGCGUUGGAAAUUUGAGAGGAUCUGCUCCUAGUACGAGAGGACCAGAGUGGACGAACCUCUGGUGUUUCGGUUGUCACGCCAGUGGCAUUGCCGAGUAGCUAUGUUCGGAUGGGAUAACCGCUGAAAGCAUCUAAGCGGGAAGCCCACCUCAAGAUAAGAUUUCCCUAAAGAGCCGUUGUAGACGACGACGUUGAUAGGUUGGGUGUGGAAGUGUAGUGAUACAUGUAGCUAACCAAUACUAAUUGCUCGUUUGGCUUGACCAUACAACACCCAAGUGGUUUACCACUGACUGUGUUGAUUGGUAAUAUGUAAGAUGAACCUUAAUCUUGAUUUGGUAAUAAACAGACUCAUACAGCGUUGUUAAUCCUUUUACGCUGACGACAAUAGCAAGAUGGAACCACCUGAUCCCUUCCCGAACUCAG